Molecule: long non-coding RNA, 3689 nt
Organism: Lineus longissimus
Lineage: Eukaryota; Metazoa; Nemertea; Pilidiophora; Heteronemertea; Lineidae
Exons: 5
Source: RefSeq, a predicted model, not a curated record
GGUUGGGAGCCGACGAUAGAUGAGCCAGCCAUUAUCGUCUGGUUCCGUACGGCAGACGAUGCGCAGGGGAGAUGCUCACAAUGCUGUGGCUGAAUUCAGUAUUGCGGGUGACGGGAUGCCGUUGAUUUGACCGGGAUCGGGCUUCAACGACGCAUGGGAAUACAUGACGUGAUGAUCGUAUUCGCCGGUAGCUCACCAAACCCGACAUUAUGCCGCUAAUCGAAAGAUAUAAACACCAUCAAAACCCCGAAGACAAGAAAUAAAGAUAAUCUGCCUGGUGCGAUCAGCAUGAUAUCGCGAGUUCGAUUGCUCAAGUUCUGAAGGACGAAUGAUGGUCACCCAAAUGGUUCUUUUCCAUGGUUGUGCCUACACGUCUGCGAGAUGAGCCAGAAUCGAUACUGGCGUGUUCGGGAUUAGAAGACAUCCCUUAAGACACCCUGAUCUUUUACAGUGGCAAGUGACUCAACCGAUAUUUGGUACACAUAAUAAGAAUAACUGCUUGGUUUAUUCGACAGAUAGUAAGUAGGUGGGAGUAUUAACUAAUGCGUUUUCGGGUUUCUCUUGCUAAUUAGUGGCUUUUUGCACCGUGUGAUACCGUAGUACAAUACUGUGAAAGACUCCGUAAUUAUUAGACGUGUCGGGCCGUCAUUUUCUAAACACUAAUAACAACUUUUUGAAAGCUUGAACGAACUGUUAACAUUAGAUUCAUUCACUCAUUUCAAUUCAUUGUUAGUUUCUAGGUAUUCGACUUUAUCAUUGCAUGUUAUAUGCGACUUGUUCAUUUCAUCAACGCGCAUACAUCUCAAAUGCUCGAAGGGCGUUAAGAUGGUUUCUAUUAGCACCACUCUAAAAGCCAACGCACAUUAGAGGUUCCCUUAGAAAUAGCGAUAAUCAGCACUUCAGCUUGACGUGUUUCAUAUAGCAAUAUUGUGGCUGUGAUCCUUAAUCUCGUAGCAUGCCGAGUGAUAUUAAGGAACCACAGAGUUAUUACUUUGCUUUGACAAGGCAUCUUUGACAGGUUACUGCAAUAACAUGAAAAGAAUAGGUUGCUGUUUCUCCGCGUAGUGGAAGGAAGUCGCUUUUAAUCAUGAACUGAACAAAGGUGGAAGUCCCGCUGUCCUCGUCGCCAUAGCUAUGCCGUGGAACCGGCUCUCUCUAUGCGUUCACUGUGGGCGCCUUGGUGUGCGUUAGAAACAAUUAAGGCACGCGGUGAAUGCCAAGGGAAGGCACAAAUUUCAACAAGAGUAGUUUCUAUGGCAGGUCCGAUUAUCAAAACACAGAGUGCGUCUUUCGAUUGAACUUUCAUCGGCAUUGAAAAUUGCGGAUUUCUGCUUGGUUUCCAUCAGCGAGGAUCAAGGACCACCGUGACGAUAUUUUCAAACAUUACUUUGUUAUGAAAACUGUACGUCGGAUGUCAUCGGGACACGCGUGGCACGAACACACGGAAAAUCAAUUAGGGAUUAGAGGAUGUUGGAUCCAUCAUGGUUUCACUGUAUGGCGUACAUUGUAAUAUCGACCUUGGACGUGUUCACGCAAGUCAGUGGCUGGUAUUAGUGGUUAAUCUUGACUGGCGUGUUGAGGGUCGCUUGCCUCUGUCCGAGUUGCCGUAUGCUGUUCGGACAAGUUUCAUCACGGAGUGCUAUAGGUCCGUGUUUUUACAGCUUUAAACUUUAUUGUUCGGACUUCCAGUGCGAGUCUUUUGUUGAUUACACGUCACAGUUCAUGCCGUAGUUAGGAAUUAUGUAGUAUUUCUGGUCCAUCAUCAGAGAAAGAAGUCAACUUGAUAACAUAUAUGCACCCUUAGAGAUAACGGGUUUUUGAUAGGUUUUCGACAACUCAAAAAACUUUAUUUCCUUAUUUCUGUGUUAGUAAUUCUCAUAUAUAACAUCAAUAGGUCUGUUUUUGUUUACGAACUAAAGUGUGUGAUAUGCUUCCAUGACUUGAACGACAUUUGUCUGUGGUUUAACGAAAUUAGGCUAUCUGCAAUUUGCUGAGAACAGCCCCAUUUGCUUGCCACGUCCUUAUACGAUUAUGUAGCCAGUGAAUCCAAUGAAUACUAAAAGAGUCCCAACUUGUUACAAGUGCACGCGUCUUCGCCCAAAUCAAUUUCCUAUUAUCGGCACAUCUUUUUACGAUGCCUCGCAUAAUUGCAACUGGUUAUUAACUUAUCGGGUUUUACAUAUUUCGCUUGAUAUGUUUACAUUACAUCCAGAGCAGUCUUCAAAUUUAUAGAAGCACAUUUUUUACAAAUAUGAAUUCAUCUAACGUUCUUCCAUCUUGACGCCAAGGUCGACCAUCUGACUGAAAUGAAUAAAAAUCACUUUUUUGAGUAUGCGGUACUUUUUUUGUUACAGGAAGGAAGAGUCCAUUGAAUAUGUUUUUUGUUGUGUAGGGUAGCAAGUUCACAUACUGAUGUCGCCCAGAUAUAAACGUACUGAGGGUGGACAGAUUCCUUGACGGUUGGAUUUAUUCUCUCCAAAUAACAAAGAAUGUGGUCCGUGGACUCGUCUUUCCUGCAGAAUAACAAGUCCCCCAACAACCAAGCCAGUGAAACCUCUCGUGGUGCGCCUGACCGUUGUUGGUCGAUAAGAAAACAAAUUUACCAAAUAUCCCAAAAUAGUAUGCUUUCGGUCGGUCCAGGUAAAUGUAAUUCAGCUUUGAUAGUCAAUGUGGUGGCAAAACUUUCAUUUUUGGUGUUAAUUUGUCGCCUUUUCUUCAAUCGCUACCUUCUUUGAGCAGCUAUGUUGGACUUCCGGUCGUAUUUGACCAAUCGGAGCCGUCUACCUGAGUAUGGCGAUACUUUCAGCACCAAGGAUGAUAUCUCAUUGAUCGGCCAAUACCGACUGGAAUUCCCAAAUCGCUGCUUGAGAAAUGUGAGGAAUGACAAAUGGGGACAUUACAAUACUCCAGUCCAGUUUAACCUCAACCUAUAAUCGUAUUUGCCACUUUCCCCAAGCAGAAUCUUUCACACUUCCGGUUGUAUUGGUCAAUCAGAUGCCCUCAAUACGCCCUCAAUCCUGAUCCGGCUUCACCAUUCAACCAAUCACAAGGAAGUACGGUCGUAUUGUAACUGCGCAAGACUUCUGGUGAUUUUCGCAGAGAAUGAUUGCACGGUAGAAGCACACCGGAACUAAACUGUAAUCGGAACCUGGUUUUAGAGAAAAGGCGGUUCCAACGCCAGCUCAUGUGGUCGCCAUUUUGCACCAAGUCCCCGGCUUGCCCUGUAUACACAUCUCGUGUUGCACCCAGCGAAUUGGUAAAUAAUGAAUCUUCAUUUCUGUAAUGUACCCAAGGGGUCGCACAAUGAUGGCUUGGUCACGCGAGGAUUGCGAACUAGCCGAGACGGGUCGGGGAUUGGUCCAUUUUCCCCACCACAAUGUGGUUAUCAAAGAUUUAUAUGUUAUAUCUUGUUUCUUGUUCCGUUGGGAAAAAAAUCCUCAAUAGGCUGCAUGUUUGCCAAGAAUUAGCGGCAAGGACAUGACGUGUAGAGCAUUUAGGUUGAUGGCUUGGACCUUGUCAGACGAGCCUCCUACUGUUUUGAUGUAAGGGAGUUAAUUAGAAAAACAUCGGUUAUAAAAUAUUCAGGGAAACCUUGAACUGGAACUUAGAUUUUUUUGCGAGACGUCUCGCAAAUAUUGAAUGAAACUAAGAGUAUAUUAUAGAACCUGUCUCGUCGCGUUAUGUAUUUU